UUAUCUCUUCCCUUGAUUCUUCUCCACAAAAUUCAAAACCCUAGCCCCCAUUUUGUUUUUCCUCAACACACACAAUCUGGAUAUCUAGAGAAAGAGUGAGAGUUGAAAGAAAGAGAGGGGCAAGAUGCAGCGAUGACAUCCGGCCGGCCACCUGGUCAUGACGGCGCUGCGGUUGUGGUUUCCCGGUGGUGUUUUAGUGGCAGAAGGGUUGUGUGGGUGCGACCGGGGUUUAAGGUGAUGACGGGAUGGGUGGUAAGGAGCAGGAGAGGCAACUGAGUGGUACACAGUGGCUCGAUGGGGAUGCACGACCACCACAGCGGCGGUAAUUGGUGCGGUGGUGGAUUGAACACCGAUUUGAUAUCUAAACGCACAAGGUUGAACACCGAUUUGAAGAAACCCUAACCUAAUUGCAGGUGUGGAACUUGCAAUCCCAAGUGGAAAAGUUAAAUAAAUGAUUCGAAGAGGCGCAACAAUCCCACACGGAAGUGUUGCAAAACCAAGUCGAAGGGAUGCAACACAAAUGAGAGAAGAUAUGCAACGACAAAUAACCGAGUUGAUGAAGCAGUUUGGUAAUCCUAGCAAUCCUCCACCAUAGUUUAGUUUUGUUUGUUUUCUUUUGCGGUUGAACUUGUAAUUUAACAACCGUGGCAUAUUUUCUUGUUGAACCUACAAUUAGACAAUGGUUUUGUAUUUUGUGGAUGAACUUUAAGUUCUAUAAUCGUGUCGUAUUUAGGAUUUUUAUUGGA
Molecule: long non-coding RNA, 746 nt
Organism: Helianthus annuus (common sunflower)
Lineage: Eukaryota; Viridiplantae; Streptophyta; Magnoliopsida; Asterales; Asteraceae
Exons: 2
Source: RefSeq, a predicted model, not a curated record